RNAcentral lists this ribosomal RNA (488 nucleotides) under uncultured bacterium. RNAcentral describes it as "bacterial SSU rRNA". It matches the Rfam family "Bacterial small subunit ribosomal RNA", at positions 28 to 507 of the family's 1533-position model. The record is from RNAcentral.
GAUGAACGCUAGCGGCAGGCCUAACACAUGCAAGUCGAACGGUAACAGGGAAAAGCUUGCUUUUCCGCUGACGAGUGGCGCACGGGUGCGUAACGCGUAUACAAUCUACCUCUUACAGGGGGAUAGCCUUUAGAAAUGAAGAUUAAUACCCCAUGGCAUUAUAAACCGGCAUCGGUUUAUAAUUAAAGUUUCGGCGGUAGGAGAUGAGUAUGCGUUCUAUUAGCUAGUAGGUGUGGUAACGGCACACCUAGGCAACGAUAGAUAGGGGCCCUGAGAGGGGGAUCCCCCACACUGGUACUGAGACACGGACCAGACUCCUACGGGAGGCAGCAGUGAGGAAUAUUGGACAAUGGGCGGAAGCCUGAUCCAGCCAUGCCGCGUGCAGGAAGACUGCCCUAUGGGUUGUAAACUGCUUUUGUACAGGAAGAAACCUUUCCACGUGUGGAGAGCUGACGGUACUGUAAGAAUAAGCAUCGGCUAACUCCGUG